CGCUGGCGGCGCGCCUAACACAUGCAAGUCGAACGAGAGAUGAGGAGCUUGCUCUUCAGAUCGAGUGGCGAACGGGUGAGUAACGCGUGAGGAACCUGCCUCAAAGAGGGGGACAACAGUUGGAAACGACUGCUAAUACCGCAUAAGCCCACGACCCGGCAUCGGGUAGAGGGAAAAGGAGCAAUCCGCUUUGAGAUGGCCUCGCGUCCGAUUAGCUAGUUGGUGAGGUAAUGGCCCACCAAGGCGACGAUCGGUAGCCGGACUGAGAGGUUGAACGGCCACAUUGGGACUGAGACACGGCCCAGACUCCUACGGGAGGCAGCAGUGGGGAAUAUUGCACAAUGGGGGAAACCCUGAUGCAGCGACGCCGCGUGGAGGAAGAAGGUCUUCGGAUUGUAAACUCCUGUUGUUGAGGAAGAUAAUGACGGUACUCAACAAGGAAGUGACGGCUAACUACGUG
RNAcentral lists this ribosomal RNA (460 nucleotides) under uncultured bacterium. RNAcentral's name for it is "bacterial SSU rRNA". It matches the Rfam family "Bacterial small subunit ribosomal RNA", at positions 34 to 507 of the family's 1533-position model. The record is from RNAcentral.